AUGGGUGCUUCUGUCCAUUUGUUUGUUGAUGUUGCUGUAAGAGACCUGGUUGCUAUCCUUGCUUCUCCAUCUGCUGUUUUUACUGCUAGUGCUACUGCUACUGCUGUUGCUACCACUAACCCCGCCAGAAUAAGGGCUCCUAUGCCUGCUGCUAAUCUCUUCUUCUUCUGCAUCUUUCUGACUUCAGCAGUGAUCUCUUCAAACUCUCCUGCAAUCUGUCUCAUCCUGUGUUCUCUGCUGUCAAACUCUCUGAUGAAGGAAGCUGAAUAAUCUUUAGGUUUGUCCAUUAACUCAGACAGAUGUGGUGGGAGGUCUUUACUCCUUCUUCUUCGUGGUCUUUGAUCCAUCUUUAGGUCUCCUGGUCCUCCUGACGUGUUGAGAUCUCCUCUUCAGAGAGAUGGAGAAGCUGAUUUUAUAUCAGACUGGGAUCCGAUG
Etheostoma spectabile (orangethroat darter) is the source of this 435-nucleotide long non-coding RNA. RefSeq lists it as uncharacterized. The transcript is spliced from 3 exons. The record is from RefSeq and is a predicted model, not a curated record. Lineage: Eukaryota; Metazoa; Chordata; Actinopteri; Perciformes; Percidae.